Molecule: ribosomal RNA, 442 nt
Filed under: uncultured bacterium
Lineage: Bacteria
Description: bacterial SSU rRNA
Rfam family: Bacterial small subunit ribosomal RNA
Source: RNAcentral
AACGCGAAGAACCUUACCUGGGCUCGAACGGCUUAAGAUCGACGGUGGAAACACUGUUUUCCCGCAAGGGACUUGAGUCGAGGUGCUGCAUGGCUGUCGUCAGCUCGUGUCGUGAGAUGUUGGGUUAAGUCCCGCAACGAGCGCAACCCUUGUCCUGUGUUGCCACUCCGUAAGGAAGCACUCGCAGGAGACCGCCAGCGAUAAGUUGGAGGAAGGUGGGGAUGAUGUCAAGUCAUCAUGGCCUUUAUGUCCAGGGCUACACACGUGCUACAAUGGACGGUACAAAGCGCUGCCAACCCGCGAGGGGGAGCUAAUCGCAAAAAACCGUUCUCAGUUCGGAUUGCAGGCUGCAACUCGCCUGCAUGAAGCUGGAAUCGCUAGUAAUGCCGUAUCAGAACGAUGGCGUGAAUACGUUCCCGGGCCUUGUACACACCGCGUGUCU